Molecule: ribosomal RNA, 253 nt
Filed under: uncultured bacterium
Lineage: Bacteria
Description: partial 16S ribosomal RNA
Rfam family: Bacterial small subunit ribosomal RNA
Source: RNAcentral
UACGUAGGUGGCAAGCGUUGUCCGGAUUUACUGGGUGUAAAGGGAGCGUAGACGGCCAUGCAAGCCUGGAGUGAAAGCCCGGGGCCCAACCCCGGGACUGCUCUGGGAACUGUGCGGCUGGAGUGCGGGAGGGGCAGGCGGAAUUCCUGGUGUAGCGGUGAAAUGCGUAGAUAUCAGGAGGAACACCGGCGGCGAAGGCGGCCUGCUGGACCGCGACUGACGUUGAGGCUUGAAAGCGUGGGGAGCAAACAGG